UGCAGCAACGCCGCGUGCGGGAUGACGGCCUUCGGGUUGUAAACCGCUUUUAGUAGGGAAGAAGGGCUUCGGCUUGACGGUACCUGCAGAAAAAGGACCGGCUAACUACGUGCCAGCAGCCGCGGUAAUACGUAGGGUCCGAGCGUUGUCCGGAAUUAUUGGGCGUAAAGAGCUCGUAGGCGGUUUGUCGCGUCUGCUGUGAAAUCUGGAGGCUCAACCUCCAGCCUGCAGUGGGUACGGGCAGACUAGAGUGCGGUAGUGGAGAAUGGAAUUCCUGGUGUAGCGGUGGAAUGCGCAGAUAUCAGGAGGAACACCGAUGGCGAAGGCAGUUCUCUGGGCCGUAACUGACGCUGAGGAGCGAAAGCGUGGGGAGCGAACAGGAUUAGAUACCCUGGUAGUCCACGCCGUAAACGUUGGGCGCUAGAUGUGGGGACCUUUCCACGGUUUCCGUGUCGUAGCUAACGCAUUAAGCGCCCCGCCUGGGGAGUACGGCCGCAAGGCUAAAACUCAAAGGAAUUGACGGGGGCCCGCACAAGCGGCGGAGCAUGCGGAUUAAUUCGAUGCAACGCGAAGAACCUUACCAAGGCUUGACAUAACCGAGAACGCCCUAGAAAUAGGGAACUCUUUGGA
This 630-nucleotide ribosomal RNA is filed under the name Agromyces sp. So2Pw_1392. Its description in RNAcentral is "bacterial SSU rRNA". It matches the Rfam family "Bacterial small subunit ribosomal RNA", at positions 387 to 1022 of the family's 1533-position model. The record is from RNAcentral. Lineage: Bacteria; Bacillati; Actinomycetota; Actinomycetes; Micrococcales; Microbacteriaceae.